This is a non-coding RNA of Triticum aestivum (bread wheat), 135 nucleotides long. The record is from Rfam. Lineage: Eukaryota; Viridiplantae; Streptophyta; Magnoliopsida; Poales; Poaceae.
UUAAUACUCCCUCCGUCCCAAAAUUCUUUUCUUAGAUUUGUCUAAAUACGGAUGUAUCUAGUUACGUUUUAGUGUUAGAUACAUCCGUAUCUAGAUGAAUCUAAGACAGGAAUUUUGGGACGGAGGGAGUAUGUG